AUGGAGGCACCACCGUCGAGGGAGGAAGGAACCUACUGCCAUGGCAAUGGUGGAGAUGCUGCUGCGGACGAUGACUCCUCCUGGUGUGAUUAUUCAGAUUCCCCAGGGCAUGGUUCCAGCUUACACAUGGAAUGGGCCCACUUGCAGGACCAGCUUCAUAAGAUGGGCUAUAGGGAAGGCAUAACCGAAGGGCGGAAGGACGCUGCCCAAGAGGGCUUCAAUCUUGGGCAUAGGCAAUCUGCGCCUCAAGGAUACAAGUGGGGUCUCGUUCGGGGAAUUACUAGUGCAUUGGCUAGCGUUCAAGACAGUCUAAAAGAAAAGUUGCUGCUCGAUGCCCAGCGUAGAGGGAAACUUGAGGAUUUGCGCAACUCUGUGCGAGAAAUUCCACCAGAGGCUGCACUGCGGAUGUUUCAUGAGAGUAUUAUUCAGGAUAAUGCUCCGCUAGUGGAAAGCAGCCUUCAAGCUAUUCCAAAUGAUCUUCUGCUGUUGUUGCGCGAAUGCCCAGAUGUUCAAGUUCCUGAAGAGUUGAAACGAGCUCCGUAG
Molecule: ribosomal RNA, 543 nt
Filed under: Triticum aestivum (bread wheat)
Lineage: Eukaryota; Viridiplantae; Streptophyta; Magnoliopsida; Poales; Poaceae
Description: partial small subunit ribosomal RNA
Source: RNAcentral